UUUGCAGAUAUUCUGGGCUGAUUGAAUGAUGUCUAGACUCUUCUGUAAUGACUUCAUUUGAGAACAGAAGGCCUUCAGGGAAUACAUUCAGCCAAGCCCCCAAAAAAGACUGCCCUGGGGUGAAACAAAUACCUUUGAGAU
This is a non-coding RNA of Sarcophilus harrisii (Tasmanian devil), 141 nucleotides long. The record is from Rfam. NCBI's taxonomy places the organism in Eukaryota, Metazoa, Chordata, Mammalia, Dasyuromorphia, Dasyuridae.